GAUGAAGAACGUAGCGAAAUGCGUUAAGUAAUGUGAAUUGCAGAAUUCAGUGAAUCAUCGAAUCUUUGAACGCACAUUGCGCCCGCCAGUAUUCUGGCGGGCAUGCCUGUCCGAGCGUCAUUUCAACCCUCGAACCCCUCCGGGGGGUCGGCGUUGGGGAUCGGCCCCUCACCGGGCCGCCCCCGAAAUCCAGUGGCGGUCUCGCCGCAGCCUCUCCUGCGCAGUAGUUUGCACACUCGCACCGGGAGCGCGGCGCGGCCACAGCCGUAAAACACCCCAAACUCUGAAAUGUUGACCUCGGAUCAGGUAGGAAUACCCGCUGAACUUAAGCAUAUCAAUAAGCGGAGGA
This 349-nucleotide unclassified non-coding RNA is filed under the name soil metagenome. Its description in RNAcentral is "partial contains 5.8S ribosomal RNA, internal transcribed spacer 2, and large subunit ribosomal RNA". The stretch from base 1 to 120 matches the Rfam family "5.8S ribosomal RNA", at positions 35 to 154 of the family's 154-position model. The record is from RNAcentral.